GGGGCCGUGGUCCAGCUCUGGUAGGAUGGGGUUGCGCACCCGCCGAAUCCCGGGUUCAAAUCCCGGCGGCCCCACCA
This 77-nucleotide transfer RNA is filed under the name Thermofilum pendens. Its description in RNAcentral is "tRNA-Arg". It matches the Rfam family "tRNA". Rfam says of the family: Transfer RNA (tRNA) molecules are approximately 80 nucleotides in length. The record is from RNAcentral. Lineage: Archaea; Thermoproteati; Thermoproteota; Thermoprotei; Thermofilales; Thermofilaceae.